CACCUCCUUGAUCUAAUCGAAGAAUCUUUAUGGGUUUAUUUUUUCACUUCGUGUUUGAACUCUUUGAACUUUUCAAAAGCCUCAAACUUAUAGUGCAUCAAAUACAUAAACCCAUACCAUAAGUAGUUAUCAAUAAAGGUUAAAGUAGAUAUAGCCACCCCUGACCUGUACAUCAAAUGGACCACACAUGUCAGUAUGCACCAGGGCUAAUAUAUCAGUGGCCCUUUUUUCUUAUCUUACAAAGCAUAGCUUAGUCAUCUUUCCUUGAAGAUAGG
This 275-nucleotide long non-coding RNA is filed under the name Elaeis guineensis (African oil palm). RNAcentral describes it as "long non-coding RNA (EGUI_LNC009841)". The record is from RNAcentral. Lineage: Eukaryota; Viridiplantae; Streptophyta; Magnoliopsida; Arecales; Arecaceae.